UCUCAGGACACUUUCCCUGUCAUGUCUCAUGCCGGCCAAGGAAACUACAACCUUCUGGAGAGUUCUGUGUCUGAUUCAUGCUCACGGCCCCGCCCUCCUGAGUUGUCCUUCAAAUUAAGCAAGUUUCCAGGAAGCAAGAUGCCAUUGCCUCUGGGGAAACUGGUCUUUCUUUCCAGUGUGGUGGCCAGUGGGAGCUGCACCCUUAUAUAUUACCUUACACAAAAGGCUUUUUCCAAGGCUUCCUAUUACCAGCUGGCUUUGGAGCAGCUGCACCGCCGGCCCGAGGCCUUGGAGGCUCUGGGCCCUCCUCUCCGCGUCCACGAUCUCCGCCUCACCGACCAGUGCAACUUCGUGGACAUUGCUGACGCCCAGUUGAAGAUUCCUGUCUCUGGAUCCAAGUCAGAGGGUCAUCUCUAUGUCAGCUCAUCCAGAGGUGCCCCCUUUCAGAGGUGGCACCUUCAGGAGGUCUUCUUAGAACUCAAGGACGGUCAGCAGAUUCCCGUGUUCAAGCCCAGCGGGGACACUGACGGUGAAGGAGGAAAGCAGUGAAGGAAAUAGUACUGUGUCAUGAAAAGAGCCUUGAUUUCUAUUUGGAAAUCACCAUCUUGAGUACGUUUUCCAGGUAAGUUUACUUCCAUUUACCUUCUUGGGCAAUUGUGAACAGGCUGUGACUUGGCCAUUGCAGUAGACAGACAUUGUCUUUCACUGCUCUGAGUAUAGCAGUGCCGUGUAUUUGCAGCCCCCACUUCCUGUGUAUUCAGUAAUCGCUGUGACUCAGCCAUUGACUCCCACUAACUACCUUGUAAACAUUUUGGAUAAUGCACAUUGUCAUCAGAGGAAAAGGCAACUCUUGCCCACAAGCAGAAUUUGAGCAAGUGCACCCUGUACACUCAGCUCAGGGAUUAGAAAAGGGCUUCACUAGAAUUGUAAUAAUUUUAUAAAGACUGGAAGAGAGAGCACAGCCAACAAAGGGUGGUAUGACUCCCACAUCCUUUACGGGAUGUGGCAUGUUCACCCCUGCAAGUUGCCUACCAGCUGGCAUGCUGAGUGGGUGGGGAGGGCCUGGGGAGUAACAGGGUAUUAGGAACAUUGUGCCCGAAGAGUUUAAGCACCGGUGCUAAAAUGAUGGCGAAGACUGAGAUACAGAUUAGGAGGAACCCAAGAGGCAGUCUGGAGGGAGCAGUCUUAUGAUGGGCCUUGAAAUCUGAGAUUUCAGACACAAUAGGGAGUGGCCUACAGGAGGAAAGAGAACACCCAAAAAAAAAUAAUAAAAGGCCUCAGGAGAAAUGUGAGCUAUUCCCCAGAACUAAGAUACCCAUUUUGGUCAGGGGAUAGUUUAGCUGAAGACACAGUAAAGGAAAGCCCUGGACAGGUUAAGUUGGCCACAGCACAUGCCAGUGUUAGCAUUUUGCAUGCAGCUUGCGGCCAUCACAGAUUUGGACGUAAGCACAGGAUUGCACAGUUAAGGGAUGUUUAAGAGACUUUGAUGAAUAUGUCCUGACAGGGCUGAUUGGAUUUUUCAAAAAAUCACACAUUUUACUGUCAUUGAUUCCAUUUUUCUAGGAUUGGCUUCCUCCUACCUCUCUUCCCUUCAACCACCCCCCCCUUCCCCGAUUUAAUAAUAUCUGAUGAGACAAGGUUUUAUAACUCCUGGUUUUGGUAAAGUUGCUAACAGUAAAGAUGAAGAGGCUGAAAUAAAUUACAUGUGUAUGAAACAGCCAGAGCGUGACAAUGUACCUCUGUCUGCCGGCACAGCGGAGAGGUCAAGGUAAUGCUCAACAAGCAGCAGCACCGGGGUUUCCUGAACGCAAGCAGCCUUAGGCCACUUGACUGUUUGGUUUUCAGUGUGUAUGAAAAAUACGAAGAAAUACCAAGCACCUGUCUUACAAGUGAGGCAAUGUUUUUACCGCUGGUUGAGAUGCUUGAUGCUUGGCAAACGCCGUACACAGGAGGCCUGAUGGCUGCGGAGGUCAGGGAGGAGGGGGGAGGAUGAUGGGAAAACCUCCAGGCCCCACCCACAGGAUUUCUCUCCCCGCUUCGUAACCUAUACAUCUUCCAGGCUUGUCUUGUGGCCAACUUCCGAGUUGCUCACUUGAAAGUACAUUCAGGAACAUGUACAGAAAAACUGGCAUUUUACAAUCCAGGGUAGAAAAGUGGGGGAUGAAAAUAUUAAAAACAUGUCUCAGACAUAGGUGUGUAUCACAUAUCACAUAUGAUAUAUUGUGCCUUUUAUCAUUAAAUAAUAAGCUUUUGAGACAAAUUUUUUCCUCCACCACGUAACUGUAGUACUUAGUUUUUUUAAAAAAAUUAUUUUUUGAUAUCUGAUCUUAUUUGUUCCUCUUAGGCCCAGUCUCAUUUUGACUAGACUCAGCUUCUCUCAGAGAAGACAGCUUCUGUCUCUAGGCAGUCUGUUCUGGUGCUUUUCUUUGGCCUCCUUCAUUCUGUCAGCUAUCAGUCUGGCAUAUUCUGCAGCCUCUUAUUUUUUUUAGUGUGCUGCUUCUUCCAAGCAGUACACUGACGUUUGUGUUGGAGGUCACAUGGAGGAACAGGACACUGAACCUUGGGUGCUUUGGUUCUAGGUUUCCUUCCUCCUUUGUUUAGGGGCUUUCUCACAGCAGACCGGCGGACAUCAUUUUCCUUCAAGAGGUUGUAAAGUUUGCGGAUUCUGCUAGAUCUUUCCGGCUCCAGGCAAUGAGGCACCGUAGUAUCAGUGAUGAGGUGCUGCCACUGUGUCAGGAUGGGACACUGAGAACUCGUGCUGGGAAGAGAGCAUCGUGUGACUCCCAAAGAGCAGCCUGUGAAGGGACUGAUCUGAGUUGCUCAGAGUAUUGGGCACAGUGCACAGCACAAGCCUGGCGUGUGUACACAGUAGGAGGGGCGGACUGACUGCACUCGUGAGCAUCUCACAACUUGAGCCUAACGAGAUAAAUAAGGACACUACUCAGACUUUGUGUGAGAAAGAGAUUUAGUUGCUUCAGGUUAUACAGCGUACACUUUUACAUUUCCAUUGUUUUAAGUAAGAAUGUACUAUUCCCCAUGGGGCCUACAUACAAUUAAAGUGUUCAAUCCCAAUAAGUUUAAAUUCUACUGAGUAUAUUCUUAUGUCUUUAGCGAACAAGGCUUCCUCCCUAAUGACAAAGUAUCCAACGUCAAAUUUUUUAUGAACAAAAUAAAAGUUUAUAAAUA
Molecule: RNA transcript, 3186 nt
Organism: Suricata suricatta (meerkat)
Lineage: Eukaryota; Metazoa; Chordata; Mammalia; Carnivora; Herpestidae
Gene name: cytochrome c oxidase assembly factor 1 homolog
Exons: 7
Source: RefSeq, a predicted model, not a curated record